UGACUGUGCUCUAUGGGGCAAGGAAGGAAUGGAAUAGAACAGGUCCGUUAUGCCCUGAGAUGAAGCGGGCGGCACGCGCACUACGAUAGAUGCUAUUUGUGGCUACUGUGAGGGAUGAAGUUGUGUAAUGGGCUUCUGAACGUGGAAUUCCUAGGAAGAAUGAUUGAACAAGUUAUUUUGAAUGUGUCCCUGUCCUUUGUACACACCGCCCGUCGCUAUCUAAGAUGACGCGGUGGACGAAGAUGAGAGGUCUGA
RNAcentral lists this ribosomal RNA (255 nucleotides) under Encephalitozoon sp. RNAcentral's name for it is "partial small subunit ribosomal RNA". It matches the Rfam family "Microsporidia small subunit ribosomal RNA", at positions 974 to 1242 of the family's 1311-position model. Lineage: Eukaryota; Fungi; Microsporidia; Unikaryonidae. The record is from RNAcentral.